This 733-nucleotide ribosomal RNA is filed under the name uncultured bacterium. RNAcentral describes it as "bacterial SSU rRNA". It matches the Rfam family "Bacterial small subunit ribosomal RNA", at positions 124 to 840 of the family's 1533-position model. The record is from RNAcentral.
ACCUGCCCAGAAGCGGGGGAUAACACCUGGAAACAGAUGCUAAUACCGCAUAACAACUUGGACCGCAUGGUCCGAGCUUGAAAGAUGGCUUCGGCUAUCACUUUUGGAUGGUCCCGCGGCGUAUUAGCUAGAUGGUGGGGUAACGGCUCACCAUGGCAAUGAUACGUAGCCGACCUGAGAGGGUAAUCGGCCACAUUGGGACUGAGACACGGCCCAAACUCCUACGGGAGGCAGCAGUAGGGAAUCUUCCACAAUGGACGAAAGUCUGAUGGAGCAACGCCGCGUGAGUGAAGAAGGGUUUCGGCUCGUAAAACUCUGUUGUUAAAGAAGAACAUAUCUGAGAGUAACUGUUCAGGUAUUGACGGUAUUUAACCAGAAAGCCACGGCUAACUACGUGCCAGCAGCCGCGGUAAUACGUAGGUGGCAAGCGUUGUCCGGAUUUAUUGGGCGUAAAGCGAGCGCAGGCGGUUUUUUAAGUCUGAUGUGAAAGCCUUCGGCUCAACCGAAGAAGUGCAUCGGAAACUGGGAAACUUGAGUGCAGAAGAGGACAGUGGAACUCCAUGUGUAGCGGUGAAAUGCGUAGAUAUAUGGAAGAACACCAGUGGCGAAGGCGGCUGUCUGGUCUGUAACUGACGCUGAGGCUCGAAAGUAUGGGUAGCAACAGGGAUUAGAUACCCCUGGGUAGUCCAUACCGUAAACGAUGAAUGCUAAGUGUUUGGAAGGGUUUCCGCCC